UCGGUGAAGCGGUUGCCCUGCACGCCGGGAACCAUGGCGAGCAGGUCGUCCCAGUUGCGGAUGGCGAGUGGCAGGUUGGCCACCGCGUUCUGCGGGACCAGCCGACCCAGAAGCGCAUCGGACGUAUUGAGCACCGGCGUGCGGUCGGCGACCGUUACGGUUUCAGUGAUCGCCCCGAUGCGAAGCUUCACAUCCACGAGCGUUCGCUGCCCGACUUCCAGCUGGAGCAAUUGGGAGUCCUUCUGGAAACGCGCCACGUCCACUUCGAGAAGGUACUGG
RNAcentral lists this unclassified non-coding RNA (279 nucleotides) under uncultured bacterium. RNAcentral describes it as "contains 16S-23S intergenic spacer region". The record is from RNAcentral.